RNAcentral lists this ribosomal RNA (1124 nucleotides) under uncultured bacterium. RNAcentral describes it as "bacterial SSU rRNA". It matches the Rfam family "Bacterial small subunit ribosomal RNA", at positions 99 to 1241 of the family's 1533-position model. The record is from RNAcentral.
UUAACGGGUGAGGAACACGUGAGAAACCUGCCUUUCAUUCUGGGAUAACACCGGGAAACCGGUGCUAAUACCGGAUACUCCGUCUUGGCGGCAUCGCCGAGCCGGGAAAAAAUUUUGAUGAAAGAUGGUCUCGCGGCCUAUCAGCUAGUUGGUGAGGUAAUGGCUCACCAAGGCGACGACGGGUAGCCGGCCUGAGAGGGCGACCGGCCACACUGGGACUGAGACACGGCCCAGACUCCUACGGGAGGCAGCAGUGGGGAAUAUUGGGCAAUGGGCGCAAGCCUGACCCAGCGACGCCGCGUGAGGGAUGAAGGUCUUCGGAUUGUAAACCUCUUUCAGUAGGGAAGAAGCGAAAGUGACGGUACCUAAAGAAGAAGCACCGGCUAACUAUGUGCCAGCAGCCGCGGUAAUACAUAGGGUGCAAGCGUUGUCCGGAAUUAUUGGGCGUAAAGAGCUCGUAGGUCGUUUGUCGCGUCGAUUGUGAAAAUCUGAGGCUCAACCUCAGACCUGCAGUCGAUACGGGCAAACUAGAGUGUGGUAGGGGAGACUGGAAUUCCUGGUGUAGCGGUGGAAUGCGCAGAUAUCAGGAGGAACACCAAUGGCGAAGGCAGGUCUCUGGGCCAUAACUGACACUGAGGAGCGAAAGUGCGGGGAGCGAACAGGAUUAGAUACCCUGGUAGUCCGCACCGUAAACGGUGGGCACUAGUUGUGGGAACCUUCCACGGUUUCCGCGACGCAGCAAACGCAUUAAGUGCCCCGCCUGGGGAGUACGAUCGCAAGAUUAAAACUCAAAGGAAUUGACGGGGCCCCGCACAAGCAGCGGAGCAUGCGGCUUAGUUCGACGCAACGCGAAGAACCUUACCAAGGCUUGACAUAUAGCGAAAAGUGGCAGAGAUGUCAUGUCCGCAAGGGCGCUAUACAGGUGGUGCAUGGUUGUCGUCAGCUCGUGUCGUGAGAUGUUGGGUUAAGUCCCGCAACGAGCGCAACCCUCGUUCUGUGUUACCAGCAUUUAGUUGGGGACUCACAGGAGACUGCCGGGGUCAACUCGGAGGAAGGUGGGGAUGACGUCAAAUCAUCAUGCCCCUUAUGUCUUGGGCUGCACGCAUGCUACAAUGGCCGGUACA